GUAGUCCUAGCUGUAAACGAUGGGCACUGGGUAGAGGCUGUGUCGAUACUGUCUCUGCCGAAGCAAAUGUGUUAAGUGCCCCGCCUGGGGAGUACGGUCGCAAGGCUAAAACUCAAAGGAAUUGACGGGGGCUCACACAAGCGGUGGAGCAUGUGGUUCAAUUCGAAGCAACGCGAAGAACCUUACCCGGGUUUGAAAUCCACGGAUGGGUCCGAUGAAAGUUGGAUACCCUGCCCGCAAGGGUGAAACGUGGACAGGUGUUGCAUGGCUGUCGUCAGCUCGUGUCGUGAGAUGUCGGGUUAAGUCCCUCAACGAGCGAAACCCUUGUCUCUAGUUGCCAACGGUUCGGCCGGGGACUCUAGAGAGACUGCCGUUGUGAAAACGGAGGAAGGUGGGGAUGACGUCAAGUCAUCAUGGCCUUUAUGUCCGGGGCUACACACGUGCUACAAUGGCCGGUACAAAGGGAUGCUAAGCCGCGAGGUAGAGCAAAACCCAAAAAGCCGGCCCCAGUUCAGAUUGGAGGCUGCAACUCGCCUCCAUGAAGAUGGAAUCGCUAGUAAUCGCGGAUCAGCUACGCCGCGGUGAAUA
RNAcentral lists this ribosomal RNA (588 nucleotides) under uncultured bacterium. RNAcentral's name for it is "bacterial SSU rRNA". It matches the Rfam family "Bacterial small subunit ribosomal RNA", at positions 790 to 1368 of the family's 1533-position model. The record is from RNAcentral.